GGGUGAGAAAGAAGGCUUCAAAAGGGCGGGAAACUGCGGAGAGGCAGUGGGCAACAUUUCUGCCCUCAGACCCGCCUCAGGACCAGCACCCAGGUGAUUGUUGAAACGGAAUGGAGAACUAUUGUGGCAGCAUUGAGAACAACUUAAGGGAGCACAGAAACCUGAGGGAAGAGGAGGCCCUUUGCUGAUAUACGGCUGUUGACUGAACAGGGUAAAGUAGCCUUGGACUCCACUGGAAAGGCCUUGAAGGAAAUACCUUUCCAGCCAGCAGCACCACUCUUACCUGCUGUGUUGGACCCAGACCAGUGCCUCACAUCACAAAGUGCUUCUGGAGACAGACAGGAUGUGGGCUUGCACAGAUUCAGAAUAUUUUGACCAAUUGAAUCCACUUUGGCUUUAGAUAAAGAGAAUUACAUGUGACACAGUGAGAUACAGAUUUCAACACUGUUUGGCUCUGCACUGGGAUCUCCAGGAAACCUGGGGUGUAAGUGAAUUCUAGAAUUUGGCUGUUUAGCAAAUGUCAGUUUUAAGCAAACCCUUCAAUGAGUCAGUAGUAACCCUCCUAAUAAUGUCCCAGCCAUUAUCUAAGCAGGGAGUUCUGAUCUGUUGUCUUAAUUACUGGCCUAAAUUAAUCCACAUAUUUUGUGAAAAGAAGUGCUGAGGAUGGAGACCAUCAUAGGAUAUUUGUGCAGUUAUAUCCUCCAGUGCUGUGUUUUCUACAGCUCAUGUUUUUACUUUAUCUCUGCUCCCUUAAAUGAGCCAUUAAA
Molecule: long non-coding RNA, 767 nt
Organism: Neopelma chrysocephalum (saffron-crested tyrant-manakin)
Lineage: Eukaryota; Metazoa; Chordata; Aves; Passeriformes; Pipridae
Exons: 7
Source: RefSeq, a predicted model, not a curated record